Mytilus trossulus (common blue mussel) is the source of this 168-nucleotide long non-coding RNA. RefSeq lists it as uncharacterized. The transcript has 3 exons. The record is from RefSeq and is a predicted model, not a curated record. NCBI's taxonomy places the organism in Eukaryota, Metazoa, Mollusca, Bivalvia, Mytilida, Mytilidae.
CUCGUUGGGCCUCUACGAAGCAUUAGGUAACCAAGAUAAAUCUAGCAUGUAUACUGCACUACAAAACCAGAAAGAACAGACACAACUUAGCAAACCACAAGUAGCGACAAAUACACAAAAUGCAUCAAAUAAUCCUAAGAAAAAUAUUGAACCAUAUACCAAUCAAGG